RNAcentral lists this long non-coding RNA (914 nucleotides) under Pan troglodytes (chimpanzee). Its description in RNAcentral is "lincRNA". Lineage: Eukaryota; Metazoa; Chordata; Mammalia; Primates; Hominidae. The record is from RNAcentral.
UUUAUGUAAAUCUCAUUAAUUCCAUCUCUUGAUGUAAUUUUCUCCUAAGAUUGUUUCCACCCACCUCCCUGAAAUCUGAUUUGGACCCCCAGGAGGCCAGAAGAGUAUAAAAACGCAAAAGAUGUUGACUUCUGAGUCCCACAUACCCGGCGUCAGCUGGUGAAUGAAAGACACGAAGGAGCUGCUGUGGAGCUGCUGUCUCCCCUCGGAGUUUGGCAGGCCCGGGAUUCCGCAAAUGAGUUGGCGGGGCCAGAUGCCUCCAGCCCUGAGCUCAGUACAUUCGGUGUCCUGGAUGCUCCCUUCCUUUCCUUAUCACUGCGAGCUCUCCUGGGACGGCCUAGAUUUUGGGACCUACUUUCUGCUCCCUGCGUGCUUCAUUGCUGAAACUGCCGGCGAAAAGAUCUCUUUCUCAAGCCUCAGAGCACCUUGAGGCGGGGCGCAGAGUCGCCCGCUCUGGAUCCCGCGCCAGAGACCCAGGAGGAUCCGCAGGAGCCCUCGGGAGAGCAGGAGGCUGCAUAGGGUCUCAACGUACUCCCGUCCCCGCAGCCUCCCUCGCAACUCGCCCCUCGCUCGGUAGGCAGACAACUCCAGCCGGACAGGUCCGUCCGAGGAGACCUUUCAGAGUGUCAGCCUACUGCUGACCUCGGAGCCACCAACCAAAGUUCCAAGACUGCUGGCUGCAGAUUGCAUGCGCUUGGGGCAGACGCCCUAAGAAUGUGUCCACCGAGUCCAAUGUGUCUUUGGAGUCCUGAGCCCUGAGAUUUCCGCUAAGACCUUCCAUUGGACGAUCUCUUGUUAACAGAUGUUGUUACAGUAACACGUGAGUUCGCUCAAAUGCGAUGGAAUUUUUGCCUUUCGAUCAUUUUGUGCCUUUGUCUUUCCCCUUCUCAAUAAAAUCGUACACAAAUGUGAAA